Long non-coding RNA from Rosa rugosa (rugosa rose), 751 nucleotides. RefSeq lists it as uncharacterized. The transcript has 2 exons. The record is from RefSeq and is a predicted model, not a curated record. NCBI's taxonomy places the organism in Eukaryota, Viridiplantae, Streptophyta, Magnoliopsida, Rosales, Rosaceae.
CUCAGAGCUGGUCCUAAUUAUCUCAGUCUCCAUUCUCCAAUUCCCUAUAAAAUGCAAACUUUGGAAUCCCUUCUGUCGUAUAGUUGUUUCUUCAGACACUGGACAUUUCUCGAAACCAGCACGAUUCAUUACGUACCAUCAUGAGGACCAUACUUGUCAUAUGCGCUAUUGGCUUUGUGUUGAUGGUGUCAUCUCUGCAAGCCGAUGCUAAACGGUUUGUUUUGAAUGACCGUCACUUGGUUCAAGUUAAGAAUGAGCCAACUCUUGCUAGUGGCGGUGCAAAAGAUCAGUCUCAGUCUCAACCCCGGACCACAAACAAGGGUAGCAGCAACAGCGAUGCUAAAUAUGAUGAUCUUGCCGACGAUGAUGCAAACGAGACUUAUGGUAAGCAUGGACAUGGCUCUUCCGAAAGUGACUCUCACCGUUAUUUUACCGACGAUACAUUCAGGCCCCAUUAAUUAUCCACUGAUCUGGAGCCUUAAUUCAUAAAUCAAGGUCGUGGUGCAAUAUGUAAAAUAUGUAUAGCUUGUAUCUGAAGUGUUUAAUAAAGUGAACCUCAAUAGCAUGUAGCCAGAUAUCCAAAUUAUCUCAGAGGGCGCAUGUUUGAUUUCACCAGAAUCUAAUAUCUGCUUUUUACUAUGUAUGUGUGUUUGAAUUGUACCGUUUAUGCUCAUCUAUUGAUCACAUCGUGUAUCAUAUAAUAAAAACGCUAUGACUACAUGCAUGGCUAGUGUGCUUACCAUUGUGUUUA